CCUACGGGAGGCAGCAGUGGGGAAUAUUGCACAAUGGGGGAAACCCUGAUGCAGCGACGCCGCGUGAGUGAAGAAGUAAUUCGUUACGUAAAGCUCUAUCAGCAGGGAAGAAAAUGACGGUACCUGACUAAGAAGCCCCGGCUAACUACGUGCCAGCAGCCGCGGUAAUACGUAGGGGGCAAGCGUUAUCCGGAUUUACUGGGUGUAAAGGGAGCGUAGACGGUUAUGCAAGUCUGGAGUGAAAUGCCGGAGCUUAACUGCGGAACUGCUUUGGAAACUGGCGAACUAGAGUGCGGGAGGGGUAAGCGGAAUUCCUGGUGUAGCGGUGAAAUGCGUAGAUAUUAGGAGGAACACCGGUGGCGAAGGCGGCUUGCUGGACCGUAACUGACGUUGAGGCUCGAAAGCGUGGGGAGCAAACAGGAUUAGAUACCCGUGUAGUC
RNAcentral lists this ribosomal RNA (440 nucleotides) under uncultured bacterium. RNAcentral's name for it is "partial 16S ribosomal RNA". It matches the Rfam family "Bacterial small subunit ribosomal RNA", at positions 338 to 795 of the family's 1533-position model. The record is from RNAcentral.